Molecule: ribosomal RNA, 429 nt
Filed under: Chloroflexota bacterium
Lineage: Bacteria; Bacillati; Chloroflexota
Description: Chloroflexi bacterium partial 16S ribosomal RNA
Rfam family: Bacterial small subunit ribosomal RNA
Source: RNAcentral
UGGGGAAUAUUGCACAAUGGGCGCAAGCCUGAUGCAGCCAUGCCGCGUGUAUGAAGAAGGCCUUCGGGUUGUAAAGUACUUUCAGCGGGGAGGAAGGGAGUAAAGUUAAUACCUUUGCUCAUUGACGUUACCCGCAGAAGAAGCACCAGCUAACUCCGUGCCAGCAGCCGCGGUAAUACGGAGGGUGCAAGCGUUAAUCGGAAUUACUGGGCGUAAAGCGCACGCAGGCGGUUUGUUAAGUCAGAUGUGAAAUCCUCGGGCUCAACCUGGGAACUGCAUCUGAUACUGGCAAGCUUGAGUCUCGUAGAGGGGGGUAGAAUUCCAGGUGUAGCGGUGAAAUGCGUAGAGAUCUGGAGGAAUACCGGUGGCGAAGGCGGCCCCCUGGACGAAGACUGACGCUCAGGUGCGAAAGCGUGGGGAGCAAACAGG